GGAAUAUUGGUCAAUGGCCGAGAGGCUGAACCAGCCAUGCCGCGUGCGGGAAGACGGCCCUAUGGGUUGUAAACCGCUUUUUUGAGGGAGCAAUAAGGCCCACGUGUGGGUUGAUGAGAGUACCUUGAGAAUAAGCAUCGGCUAACUCCGUGCCAGCAGCCGCGGUAAUACGGAGGAUGCGAGCGUUAUCCGGAUUUAUUGGGUUUAAAGGGUGCGUAGGCGGACGAUUAAGCGUGAGGUGAAAUGCCCGGGCUCAACCUGGGAACUGCCUCGCGAACUGGUUGUCUGGAAUGCUCCUGCCGUGGGAGGAAUGUGUGGUGUAGCGGUGAAAUGCAUAGAGAUCACACAGAACACCGAUUGCGAAGGCAUCUCACGAAGGGGUGAUUGACGCUGAGGCACGAAAGCGUGGGGAUCAAACA
This 419-nucleotide ribosomal RNA is filed under the name uncultured bacterium. RNAcentral describes it as "bacterial SSU rRNA". It matches the Rfam family "Bacterial small subunit ribosomal RNA", at positions 358 to 774 of the family's 1533-position model. The record is from RNAcentral.